AAUGUCCUAGUUUAAUAAAAAUAUUUUAUUUACAAUAAGAUGAUUUUUCUUUAGUGAAAAGGAUUUUU
This 68-nucleotide transfer RNA is filed under the name Pseudomyrmex gracilis. Its description in RNAcentral is "tRNA-Val". Lineage: Eukaryota; Metazoa; Arthropoda; Insecta; Hymenoptera; Formicidae. The record is from RNAcentral.